RNAcentral lists this non-coding RNA (161 nucleotides) under bovine gut metagenome. RNAcentral's name for it is "Lysine riboswitch". It matches the Rfam family "Lysine riboswitch aptamer". Rfam says of the family: Riboswitches are metabolite binding domains within certain messenger RNAs that serve as precision sensors for their corresponding targets. Allosteric rearrangement of mRNA structure is mediated by ligand binding, and this results in modulation of gene expression. This family includes riboswitches that sense lysine in a number of genes involved in lysine metabolism, including lysC. The record is from RNAcentral.
ACUGAUAGAGGCGCAGAAUACAUCAGUAGCAAAUUCGAAGCUUGACAAAGGGAUUUGUGAAAGGGUAUUUUGCCGAAAUGUAACCGAAUGUCAAAACGGUUAUGUUGGGCAAUGAUGAAAUACAUCAUUGACUGUCACAAGUUUUUGUGGAGUGCUAUCGU